GUUUGAUCCUGGCUCAGGAUGAACGCUAGCGGCAGGCUUAACACAUGCAAGUCGAGGGGUAUAGUUCUUCGGAACUAGAGACCGGCGCACGGGUGCGUAACGCGUAUGCAAUCUACCUUUCACAGAGGGAUAGCCCAGAGAAAUUUGGAUUAAUACCUCAUAGUAUAAUGAGUUGGCAUCAACACAUUAUUAAAGUUACAACGGUGAAAGAUGAGCAUGCGUCCCAUUAGCUAGAUGGUAAGGUAACGGCUUACCAUGGCUACGAUGGGUAGGGGUCCUGAGAGGGAGAUCCCCCACACUGGUACUGAGACGCGGACCAGACUCCUACGGGAGGCAGCAGUGAGGAAUAUUGGACAAUGGGCGCAAGCCUGAUCCAGCCAUGCCGCGUGCAGGAUGACGGUCCUAUGGAUUGUAAACUGCUUUUGUACGAGAAGAAACACUGCUACGUGUAGCAGCUUGACGGUAUCGUAAGAAUAAGGAUCGGCUAACUCCGUGCCAGCAGCCGCGGUAAUACGGAGGAUCCAAGCGUUAUCCGGAAUCAUUGGGUUUAAAGGGUCCGUAGGCGGUCUAGUAAGUCAGUGGUGAAAGCCCAUCGCUCAACGGUGGAACGGCCAUUGAUACUGCUAGACUUGAAUUAUUAGGAAGUAACUAGAAUAUGUAGUGUAGCGGUGAAAUGCUUAGAGAUUACAUGGAAUACCAAUUGCGAAGGCAGGUUACUACUAAUGGAUUGACGCUGAUGGACGAAAGCGUGGGUAGCGAACAGGAUUAGAUACCCUGGUAGUCCACGCCGUAAACGAUGGAUACUAGCUGUUGGGCGCAAGUUCAGUGGCUAAGCGAAAGUGAUAAGUAUCCCACCUGGGGAGUACGUUCGCAAGAAUGAAACUCAAAGGAAUUGACG
RNAcentral lists this ribosomal RNA (898 nucleotides) under uncultured bacterium. RNAcentral describes it as "bacterial SSU rRNA". It matches the Rfam family "Bacterial small subunit ribosomal RNA", at positions 11 to 915 of the family's 1533-position model. The record is from RNAcentral.